Molecule: long non-coding RNA, 948 nt
Organism: Talpa occidentalis (Iberian mole)
Lineage: Eukaryota; Metazoa; Chordata; Mammalia; Eulipotyphla; Talpidae
Exons: 3
Source: RefSeq, a predicted model, not a curated record
CCCCAGCAUGCAGAGUUCCAGAUUUCAGUGUUUUUGGAUCUUUAUAGUGAGUGAUUCAGGGGUCAAUGAUUUCUCCCCACCAUGUUGAUCUUCCAGAAGGCUGUUGCAUUGCUUGUGAAGAAAGGGAGAGGCCUCCAGCAGCCAACCUCAGAGAGGAAAAUUUCGGAGACUUUGCAAGUAACUGAGUGACUGAAACCGUUCCCGGUUUUACUGCUGUUACAGCCUGGCAGGGAAGGCGAAGAUCGAGGCCGGGCGCCUCGCUGAGCUGUGAGUGUGGCCAUUUGUCGGGUAGUUCGGCUGUUGCAGCUGCUGUUUUGAACGUCACUUAGGUCUGGUGCUGUGCUGGGGCACCUUGGCAGCAACAUGAGCAUCUCCUGUUGUGUAUUCGUGAGUUGGACCCUAGCCUAUAGUCUGGCUGCCACAUGCUCCAGGCAUUCAGUGGUGGGAAGACACCAUCUUGGAAGCCUUUGUGUUUAGGAUUUUAAAAUGCUGGACACUGCUUCAGCUUUAUCUGCAGAGUCAUCAGAUAAAUAUGCCAGAUGAAGAGUUUGUGAUGGAGAACACUUGCUGGAUCAAAACCAAGAAGGAAAGGAUUGUCUUCUUAUCACAUUGCUGUAACUUUUACUCUUCAAUCUUGUGCUGAAUUAAUAGCAGAAACAAUUUCCUCAAGUACCAGCACAGGAAUGCCAUUUGUGGCUUUAUUUCAAGAAGCAAAUGGAUGGGCCUCCCCGGUGGCGCAGCGAUGGAGCGCUGGGUUGCGAAGCUGCCCGCAGCCUCUGCAACGCCGGUUUGAUCCCUGGCCAACGGGUGAGGGUCCCACAUGGCGCGCAGACCUCUCCUGCCGCCCGCUGCUCCCCUCAGCAGUGUGUUUCGUUCAGCCUGCCUGCUCUGCUCUACUCUCUGCUACUCUGACUCUGAUGAAUUCUCUCACCCUCCCGCGCUUCUGAC